AGUCUGGUGCCAGCAGCCGCGGUAAUUCCAGCUCCAAUAGCGUAUAUUAAACUUGUUGCAGUUAAAAAGCUCGUAGUUGAAUUUCUGCUGCAUCGUGGUUCUUCGCUAUGUCGAGUGGGCCUCGUUGUGGCUUAGUUGGGGCAUGUUUUCAUGACUCGACGUUUACUUUGAGAAAAUUAGAGUGCUUCAAGCAGGCUUUUGCCUUGAAUACUUUAGCAUGGAAUAAUGGAGUAGGACUUUGGUUCUAUUUUGUUGGUUUUAGGAGCCGGAGUAAUGGUUAAUAGGAACAGUUGGGGGCAUUCGUAUUUGACUGUCAGAGGUGAAAUUCUUAGAUUUGUCAAAGACGAACUACUGCGAAAGCAUUUGCCAAGGAUGUUUUCAUUAAUCAAGAACGAAAGUUAGGGGAUCGAAGACGAUCAGAUACCGUCGU
RNAcentral lists this ribosomal RNA (430 nucleotides) under Theileria equi. RNAcentral's name for it is "SSU rRNA". It matches the Rfam family "Eukaryotic small subunit ribosomal RNA", at positions 558 to 1021 of the family's 1831-position model. Lineage: Eukaryota; Apicomplexa; Aconoidasida; Piroplasmida; Theileriidae. The record is from RNAcentral.